GAUGAACGCUGGCGGCGUGCCUAAUACAUGCAAGUCGAGCGAACAGACGAGGAGCUUGCUCCUCUGACGUUAGUGGCGGACGGGUGAGUAACACGUGGAUAACCUACCUAUAAGACUGGGAUAACUUCGGGAAACCGGAGCUAAUACCGGAUAAUAUAUUGAACCGCAUGGUUCAAUAGUGAAAGACGGUUUUGCUGCCACUUAUAGAUGGAUCCGCGCCGCAUUAGCUAGUUGGUAAGGUAACGGCUUACCAAGGCAACGAUGCGUAGCCGACCUGAGAGGGUGAUCGGCCACACUGGAACUGAGACACGGUCCAGACUCCUACGGGAGGCAGCAGUAGGGAAUCUUCCGCAAUGGGCGAAAGCCUGACGGAGCAACGCCGCGUGAGUGAUGAAGGUCUUCGGAUCGUAAAACUCUGUUAUUAGGGAAGAACAAAUGUGUAAGUAACUAUGCACGUCUUGACGGUACCUAAUCAGAAAGCCACGGCUAACUACGUG
RNAcentral lists this ribosomal RNA (497 nucleotides) under uncultured bacterium. RNAcentral's name for it is "partial 16S ribosomal RNA". It matches the Rfam family "Bacterial small subunit ribosomal RNA", at positions 28 to 507 of the family's 1533-position model. The record is from RNAcentral.